Molecule: RNA transcript, 898 nt
Organism: Onychomys torridus (southern grasshopper mouse)
Lineage: Eukaryota; Metazoa; Chordata; Mammalia; Rodentia; Cricetidae
Gene: Tmem238
Gene name: transmembrane protein 238
Exons: 3
Source: RefSeq, a predicted model, not a curated record
CCUGGCGCAGGGCCCUGACCCCGCCCCGGGCAGCCGCACCCCGGGACGCUCUCGGGGAGCAGGGGCGGCGGCGGGCCACCGAGGGCCAUGGCGGCGGUGUCACCGGUGUGCGGCUCACAGGCGUCCCCGGCCGGCGCCUCGUCCCCACCCGCGGCCGCCCCGGCUCCGGCGGCCGGCCUGGGCCGCUGCCGCAUGGCGCUGCUGCUGGCGGUGGCCCUGGACGUGGCGGGCAUGGCGGCGCUGCUGACCGGCGUGUUCGCGCAGCUGCAGGUGCGCGGCCGCGACUUCGGGGACCUGCUCAUCUACUCCGGGGCGCUGCUGGUCUUCUUGAGCCUGCUGGGCUGGAUCCUCUGGUACACGGGCAACAUCGAGAUCUCGCGCCAGGAGCUCGAGCGUGACUACGGCCUGCGGCCCUCGGCGAUCGCCCGCCUCGCUCGCAAGCUGUCCCGCCGCUGGUCGGCGCCCGCCACCGCCAACCCCCGGGCGACCCCGGGUCUCCGCGCAGCGCGCCGAGCGGCCCGCGCGCCCCAGACGGCGGCCUCCGGCUCCCGCCGCGUGCGCCUGCAGCUCGCCACGCUCGAGGCGGGGCCCGGAGCGGCGGGCGCGGGCGGCGAGUGAGCCCCCAGACUGGCCUUGAAGAUCCUCUUUCCCAGCCUUCCAGGUGUUGGGAUUCCCCCAGCUGUUUCUCCGUCUUUGCCUGCUUUCUCCAUCUCUGUUCAUCCCCCUGUCUCUGUGCCUCUCUGCUGUUUCCUGCCACAGACUCACCAGUGUCCGUGGAUUCUGACCACCUCACCCCUCUGGACCUGACGGAGAUGCGCAGCUGCCCUGUCCAUCACCCGGCCACCAGGAUACCCACCUGUUCCCUCACUUGGAUAAAUGUCUCAGUUUUGGAGCACUG